Molecule: ribosomal RNA, 489 nt
Filed under: Triticum aestivum (bread wheat)
Lineage: Eukaryota; Viridiplantae; Streptophyta; Magnoliopsida; Poales; Poaceae
Description: partial small subunit ribosomal RNA
Source: RNAcentral
AUGGAGAUUUUAACAUGUGAUAUGUCCUCAAGCAAACUAAGUUCUUUUGCAAUUUGCUGCUCAAGUUGUGGCUCUCCUGCAGGGCAAAUCUCCCCAACAAGAAGCAUAACAGAGGCCUCUCUUUCAAUGUAUGAAGAUUGGGUAUCUAAUAACUGGCCAUCAGAGGGAGAAAUUCAGCUCCAUAACCUCCAUUGCAAACCAUUGUUCUUUCUUGGGCAAAUCUUCCCAACAAGAAGCAUAACAGAGGCCUCUCUUUCAAUUGGUAGAGAGUGUAGAGAACUGGUGUGUGGGCCAGUGUCAGCCCGUCUGUCUCAGUUGAGUGAUUCUGAGACGGACCAAGAUAUUGGUUCUGCCACUGCUUCGGUGGACUUGCAACCUCUUGCAACAGAUAACCUGAUACCGGACACACCACAACAGCAUUACUCAGGGGUGAUUGGCAUGACGAUCGUGCAUCGAAUCACCUUGGUCCUUCAGAGCGAAAUACUCUAG